CCUACGGGAGGCAGCAGUGAGGAAUAUUGGUCAAUGGGCGAGAGCCUGAACCAGCCAAGUCGCGUGAAGGAUGACGGCCCUACGGGUUGUAAACUUCUUUUGUCAGGGAGCAAUUGGGUCCACGCGUGGGCUUAGCGAGAGUACCUGAAGAAAAAGCAUCGGCUAACUCCGUGCCAGCAGCCGCGGUAAUACGGAGGAUGCGAGCGUUAUCCGUAUUUAUUGGGUUUAAAGGGUGCGUAGGCGGACGAUCAAGUCAGCGGUAAAAAUGCGGGGCUCAACCCCGUCGUGCCGUUGAAACUGAUCUGCUUGAGUGGGCGUGAAGUAUGCGGAAUGUGUGGUGUAGCGGUGAAAUGCUUAGAGAUCAUACAGAACUCCGAUUGCGAAGGCAGCAUACCGGCGUCCAACUGACGUUGAAGCACGAAAGCGUGGGUAUCGAACAGGAUUAGAUACCCGUGUAGUC
This 460-nucleotide ribosomal RNA is filed under the name uncultured bacterium. RNAcentral's name for it is "partial 16S ribosomal RNA". It matches the Rfam family "Bacterial small subunit ribosomal RNA", at positions 338 to 795 of the family's 1533-position model. The record is from RNAcentral.